Molecule: ribosomal RNA, 253 nt
Filed under: uncultured bacterium
Lineage: Bacteria
Description: partial 16S ribosomal RNA
Rfam family: Bacterial small subunit ribosomal RNA
Source: RNAcentral
UACGGGGGGGGCAAGCGUUGUUCGGAAUUACUGGGCGUAAAGGGCUCGUAGGCGGCCAACUAAGUCGGAUGUGAAAUCCCCAGGCUCAACUUGGGAACUGCAUCCGAUACUGGAUGGCUUGAAUUCGGGAGAGGGAUGCAGAAUUCCAGGUGUAGCGGUGAAAUGCGUAGAUAUCUGGAGGAACACCGGUGGCGAAGGCGGCAUUCUGGACCGACAUUGACGCUGAGGAGCGAAAGCCAGGGGAGCAAACGGG